AAGACCUUGCGCUUUUGGAGCGGCCGAUGUCUGAUUAGCUUGUUGGUGAGGUAAAAGCUUACCAAGGCUUCGAUCAGUAGCUGGUCUGAGAGGACGGCCAGCCACACUGGGACUGAGACACGGCCCAGACUCCUACGGGAGGCAGCAGUGGGGAAUUUUGGACAAUGGGGGCAACCCUGAUCCAGCCAUGCCGCGUGAGUGAAGAAGGCCUUCGGGUUGUAAAGCUCUUUCAGCCGGAACGAAACGGUUACGGUUAAUACCCGUGACUACUGACGGUACCGGAAGAAGAAGCACCGGCUAACUACGUGCCAGCAGCCGCGGUAAUACGUAGGGUGCAAGCGUUAAUCGGAAUUACUGGGCGUAAAGCGUGCGCAGGUGGUUUUGUAAGUCAGAUGUGAAAUUCCCGGGCUUAACCUGGGAACU
RNAcentral lists this ribosomal RNA (423 nucleotides) under uncultured bacterium. RNAcentral's name for it is "bacterial SSU rRNA". It matches the Rfam family "Bacterial small subunit ribosomal RNA", at positions 207 to 622 of the family's 1533-position model. The record is from RNAcentral.